AGAUUGAACGCUGGCGGCAUGCCUUACACAUGCAAGUCGAACGGCAGCACGGGAGCAAUCCUGGUGGCGAGUGGCGAACGGGUGAGUAAUAUAUCGGAACGUGCCCAGUAAUGGGGGAUAGCCCGGCGAAAGCCGGAUUAAUACCGCAUACGACCUACGGUGAAAGCGGGGGAUCGCAAGACCUCGCGUUAUUGGAGCGGCCGAUAUCAGAUUAGCUUGGUUGGCGGGGUAAAAGCCCACCAAGGCGACGAUCUGUAGCUGGUCUGAGAGGACGACCAGCCACACUGGGACUGAG
This 295-nucleotide ribosomal RNA is filed under the name uncultured soil bacterium. RNAcentral describes it as "partial 16S ribosomal RNA". It matches the Rfam family "Bacterial small subunit ribosomal RNA", at positions 26 to 323 of the family's 1533-position model. The record is from RNAcentral.